CAUUUGUUUAUAAUGGCAACCAAUAUUUCAUCUGUAAAUGAAGAUACCAUUGAAGGUCCGGGUGCGACUGCCCUUGAUCUAAUCAUUGAGAGAAGAUUCGGAGGAGUUUUAAGAAAGGCUGGUGAUGAAAUGUUCUUAAGGAGUAUCCCGUUAAGAAUGAUGGCGGCUAUACUCCUGUCCAGGAUUAUACCUGAUCGCUGGUUUUGUUUCCUGUGGAGAAUGAUUGAAAAGAAAUCCGUAAUUUAAGAAUCAUCCAAUGGAUUCAUGCAAAGUUCCCCAUCAAGCUUAGCAACAAGAUACAGAACAUACCCUAACCCUAACCUUGAUCUUCAAGCUUGACUACACAGUUCAGAAGAUCUUCGAAGACUUUCAUUAAGAUUGACCAUAUAAAGAUAAGAUAAAAUAAAGAUUUUGUAUUCAGUAUG
This is a long non-coding RNA of Biomphalaria glabrata, 425 nucleotides long. RefSeq lists it as uncharacterized. The transcript has 3 exons. NCBI's taxonomy places the organism in Eukaryota, Metazoa, Mollusca, Gastropoda, Planorbidae. The record is from RefSeq and is a predicted model, not a curated record.